RNAcentral lists this ribosomal RNA (253 nucleotides) under uncultured bacterium. RNAcentral describes it as "partial 16S ribosomal RNA". It matches the Rfam family "Bacterial small subunit ribosomal RNA", at positions 524 to 776 of the family's 1533-position model. The record is from RNAcentral.
GACAGAGGGUGCAAACGUUGUUCGGAAUUACUGGGCGUAAAGCGUGUGUAGGCGGCCUUGCAAGUCGGAUGUGAAAGCCCCGGGCUCAACCCGGGAAGUGCACUCGAUACUGCAGGGCUUGAGUAUCGUAGAGGUUGGUGGAAUUCUCGGUGUAGAGGUGAAAUUCGUAGAUAUCGAGAGGAACACCGGCGGCGAAGGCGGCCUUCUGGACAGUAACUGACGCUGAGACGCGAAAGCGUGGGGAGCAAACAGG